Molecule: ribosomal RNA, 331 nt
Filed under: uncultured bacterium
Lineage: Bacteria
Description: partial 16S ribosomal RNA
Rfam family: Bacterial small subunit ribosomal RNA
Source: RNAcentral
GGGCGCAAGNCCUGAUGCAGCGACGCCGCGUGAGGGAUGGAGGCCUUCGGGUUGUAAACCUCUUUUGUUAGGGAGCAAGGCACUUUGUGUUGAGUGUACCUUUCGAAUAAGCACCGGCUAACUACGUGCCAGCAGCCGCGGUAAUACGUAGGGUNNAARMNNUAUCCGGAAUUAUUGGGCGUAAAGGGCUCGUAGGCGGUUCGUCGCGUCCGGUGUGAAAGUCCAUCGCUUAACGGUGGAUCCGCGCCGGGUACGGGCGGGCUUGAGUGCGGUAGGGGAGACUGGAAUUCCCGGUGUAACGGUGGAAUGUGUAGAUAUCGGGAAGAACACC